GCUAGGGUAGCAAAGGUUAAUUAAUGCUUAAGUCUUAGGAACUUAGAACGCGGACUCCCCGCCCCUAGCU
This 70-nucleotide transfer RNA is filed under the name Euapta godeffroyi. RNAcentral describes it as "tRNA-Leu". Lineage: Eukaryota; Metazoa; Echinodermata; Holothuroidea; Apodida; Synaptidae. The record is from RNAcentral.